Molecule: long non-coding RNA, 929 nt
Filed under: Junco hyemalis (dark-eyed junco)
Lineage: Eukaryota; Metazoa; Chordata; Aves; Passeriformes; Passerellidae
Description: lncRNA (ENSJHYG00000014280.1)
Source: RNAcentral
CUGUGAUUAAGGUUUCACAUUCUUGUUCUUGAGAGAAUGUCCUGAAGAAGAGCAGAAAUGGACUCACUCUGCAUCCACUUGGUUACAUGAGCUAGGCACGUCCUUUGAGAAGUCAAUUGCAUGAGAGCAGAAUUCGCUGCAGGAAGGUUGCUGUGUUCAUGAAGCACAGAAAUUCUCUUGCCUCUGUGUGUUUGCGGCUCCCGUGCAGAUGUUUAUUCUCCUCCCGCACCUCUGUUUGUUCGCUUUCGGAGGCAGGGCCGGGUGAUGCCCAAGGUGCGUUCCUGCAGCGCAUUCCCAGCCUCUCUCCCACAGCCCAGCCCUCCCCUGACCUGACCACAACCUCCCUCGGGUCCCAGAGAUUCCCACAAGCGGCGAUGACUGGCUGGGAAAGAAUCCCGGAGCAUCCGAGCAGCAGGAAAGCUGAGCCCUGGCUGCGGGACACGCAGGAAAUGCAGGGAGCAGGGUGGGUCUGCCUUGCGAACGGGAAUGUUCCAGCCACGCAGCCAGACCUGGCAGCCUUCGGCUUCUAUAAACACUCAGGGAGCUCUGUGCAGACCUGCUCUGCCGGGGCACAUUCUGCUUUCCAGUUGCAUUCUUAAGGAAACAUGAUUUUCUUCACUGACUACAACUCCACACAUUGAUGCAAAGACACUCUGCAUUUCAUUAGAUUAGACUCAAGGUGCUUUUGGAAAUCCAAAUUGAGAUUUUUAUUAACUAAUGAAGCAGUUUAAAUAUGCUGUUUGUUUUUUGGUGUUUCUUGUUUUUUAUUUUUUUAUAUAUAUAUUACAGAAUCACAGAAUAAUGAGGUUGGAAGAGACCUCUAAGAUCAUCAACUCCAACCUAUGCCCUAAUAAUUAAAAAGCAUAACACAUUAAGAUAGAUUUGAUGUAUUAAAUAAAGCACAUGGCUAACUGAACUGUUUGUAUCUG